Molecule: long non-coding RNA, 782 nt
Organism: Orbicella faveolata
Lineage: Eukaryota; Metazoa; Cnidaria; Anthozoa; Scleractinia; Merulinidae
Source: RefSeq, a predicted model, not a curated record
CAAUUCACUGAGUAGAGAGGAAAUUUUUGUGCAUACCAUGUGAUGAUUGGUUUACGUUUUUGUUUUUUUUUUUCUCCGAAAUAAUGCAGUAGGAAAACGAUUUCCAUCAUGCUUGCUCUCACUGGUUAGAACACAGCAUGUAAUGUCAUGAAUUUAUUUUCAAUCAGCUGUGGAGUUCAUGAGAUUUAAAGUGCUGUACCAUAUAGUACAUGUAUAUGUGUUUGUGAGCACCUCAGCAUUCUCCCCUGUUGAUGUUGAUUUUAAUGAGUCGUUUUUGACAACACUGGAGAAUAAUAGACAGAGAUGAUGGUACAUGUAAAAUCUGAGUAAGUUUUAGUUAUGCCCGGCAUUCCAGUAGUUCUGAACAACAGACAUUGCGAGAUUUGCUCACACACCUUCUUUGGCUUAAGAUUCCUCUUGCAUUACUCUGAUCAGAUGUAGUGUAACAUAAAUGUACAGUGUUCUUCUAAAGUUACGUAGGACUUAACUAAAUCCUGAAUGAACAUGUUUUUUCUCUGCUAUACAGCGACUUCAAAAAAGAACAAUAACUCCACCAAGAACAUUCUUCAGUCUACUCUUUGGAAAAGGUGGCAUUUCCUUGCAUAAGGCUAAAAACAUCCGACAGACAGAACUGGUGGCCGAUUUAAGGGAAGCAAUUCUUCAAAUAGCCCGACAUUUUGACGCUGUGGAUCCUAAGAAGGGUCUGGAAGUUGACUAUUCAAUGGAAAGUCAUGCAAGAGACCAUGAAAGGUUUAUCAACGUAGCCAGGAAUCGUCGGAGAC